This 404-nucleotide ribosomal RNA is filed under the name Actinomycetes bacterium. Its description in RNAcentral is "Actinobacteria bacterium partial 16S ribosomal RNA". It matches the Rfam family "Bacterial small subunit ribosomal RNA", at positions 355 to 776 of the family's 1533-position model. Lineage: Bacteria; Bacillati; Actinomycetota; Actinomycetes. The record is from RNAcentral.
UGGGGAAUAUUGGACAAUGGGCGCAAGCCUGCUCCAGCCAUGCCGCGUGAGUGAUGAAGGCCCUCGGGUUGUAAAGCUCUUUCACCGGUGAAGAUAAUGACGGUAACCGGAGAAGAAGCCCCGGCUAACUUCGUGCCAGCAGCCGCGGUAAUACGAAGGGGGCUAGCGUUGUUCGGAUUUACUGGGCGUAAAGCGCACGUAGGCGGACUAUUAAGUCAGGGGUGAAAUCCCGGGGCUCAACCCCGGAACUGCCUUUGAUACUGGUAGUCUUGAGUUCGAGAGAGGUGAGUGGAAUUCCGAGUGUAGAGGUGAAAUUCGUAGAUAUUCGGAGGAACACCAGUGGCGAAGGCGGCUCACUGGCUCGAUACUGACGCUGAGGUGCGAAAGCGUGGGGAGCAAACAGG